Molecule: ribosomal RNA, 253 nt
Filed under: uncultured bacterium
Lineage: Bacteria
Description: partial 16S ribosomal RNA
Rfam family: Bacterial small subunit ribosomal RNA
Source: RNAcentral
UACGGGGGGGGCAAGCGUUGUUCGGAAUUACUGGGCGUAAAGGGCUCGUAGGUGGCCAACUAAGUCAGACGUGAAAUCCCUCGGCUUAACCGGGGAACUGCGUCUGAUACUGGAUGGCUUGAGUUUGGGAGAGGGAUGCGGAAUUCCAGGUGUAGCGGUGAAAUGCGUAGAUAUCUGGAGGAACACCGGUGGCGAAGGCGGCAUCCUGGACCGAUAUUGACGCUGAGGAGCGAAAGCUAGGGGAGCAAACGGG